UGGGGGAUAUUGCACAAUGGGCGAAAGCCUGAUGCAGCGACGCCGCGUGGGGGAUGAAGGCCUUCGGGUUGUAAACUUCUUUUGCUCUGAACAAGGCAUGCCUUUGGGGUGUGUUGAGUGUAGGGGUUGAUUAGCGCCGGCUAACUACGUGCCAGCAGCCGCGGUAAUACGUAGGGCGCGAGCGUUGUCCGGAAUUAUUGGGCGUAAAGGGUACGCAGGCGGUUUAAUAAGUCGAAUGUUAAAGAUCGGGGCUCAACCCCGUAAAGCAUUGGAAACUGAUAAACUUGAGUAGUGGAGAGGAAAGUGGAAUUCCUAGUGUAGUGGUGAAAUACGUAGAUAUUAGGAGGAAUACCAGUAGCGAAGGCGACUUUCUGGACACAAACUGACGCUGAGGUACGAAAGCGUGGGGAGCAAACAGG
This 419-nucleotide ribosomal RNA is filed under the name Fusobacteriota bacterium. RNAcentral describes it as "Fusobacteria bacterium partial 16S ribosomal RNA". It matches the Rfam family "Bacterial small subunit ribosomal RNA", at positions 355 to 776 of the family's 1533-position model. Lineage: Bacteria; Fusobacteriati; Fusobacteriota. The record is from RNAcentral.